Non-coding RNA from Aedes aegypti (yellow fever mosquito), 73 nucleotides. NCBI's taxonomy places the organism in Eukaryota, Metazoa, Arthropoda, Insecta, Diptera, Culicidae. The record is from Rfam.
GUCUCGGUAGCUUAGUUGAUGAAGCGCUCGUCUAGCAUACAAGAGACCUGGGUUCGAAUCCCAGCCGUGCACA